CUGCGAGACCGUAUAGCGAACAAGGUACCGGGUAGGGGAAAGAUGAAAAGAACUUUGAAAAGAGAGUUAAAGAGUACCUGAAACUGCUGAAAGGGAACCGAAUCGUUUCCAGUGUCUAUAAUCCAUGGCAUAUUUCAUUGGCGAGUGAGUGCGUGCAGCGUUUUGGAAGUGGUUUUCCGCUCCUGUCGUUGUUGUGCAUUUGCUUGCUGGUGCCCUGUGCUGUGGUGGGACGUCAGAGUCAGUUUGUGUGUCGCGGGAAAUGGUUAUUGGGGAGGUAGGUCGCUUCGGUGGCUAUUAUAUCCUGGUAACUAGUCGUCGUGGCUGAGACUGAGGUGCCUACAAUGUGCUUUCGAGUGUGCGGGUUUCUCGUGUGGCUGUUUGCUUUGAUAGCUUGCUAUGUUGGUGAAUAAAUUGUGCGAUUGAGACCUGUAUUAACUUGUUGCUGUUCGGGACUUUGAA
RNAcentral lists this ribosomal RNA (459 nucleotides) under uncultured Oomycota. Its description in RNAcentral is "LSU rRNA". It matches the Rfam family "Eukaryotic large subunit ribosomal RNA", at positions 326 to 631 of the family's 3401-position model. Lineage: Eukaryota; Oomycota. The record is from RNAcentral.